UGUAUCAGUAUCCAUGUGCUGAGAGGAUGUAGAUGGGUUGGCCCACUUGUCCUUGACGCGAAGCCGGAUCGGGUCACGCACAAUGUAAUCAGACUGAGCGUAGAGCAGCUCCUCCGGAAAAGCCUCUUGCCACUUAUGGCGAAUGUAUGCAAACAGGUAAGGCCCGAAGAUGGGAACCUUACGCAUGAUGAUGCAGUUCCAGUGCUCUGUGAACAUCACAUCAGAAAUAUCCAGCUAAGCAGACUCCUGAGACAUAGCCUCCUCACACAGC
This 271-nucleotide long non-coding RNA is filed under the name Hordeum vulgare. RNAcentral describes it as "long non-coding RNA (HVUL_LNC014987)". The record is from RNAcentral. Lineage: Eukaryota; Viridiplantae; Streptophyta; Magnoliopsida; Poales; Poaceae.